Molecule: ribosomal RNA, 365 nt
Filed under: uncultured bacterium
Lineage: Bacteria
Description: bacterial SSU rRNA
Rfam family: Bacterial small subunit ribosomal RNA
Source: RNAcentral
CAGUAGGGAGGAAGGUAGUGUAGUUAACACCUGCAUUAUUUGACGUUACCUACAGAAGAAGCACCGGCUAACUCCGUGCCAGCAGCCGCGGUAAUACGGAGGGUGCGAGCGUUAAUCGGAAUUACUGGGCGUAAAGCGCAUGCAGGCGGCCUGUUAAGUCAGAUGUGAAAGCCCGGGGCUUAACCUCGGAAUUGCAUUUGAAACUGGCAGGCUAGAGUCUUGUAGAGGGGGGUAGGAAUUUCAGGUGUAGCGGUGAAAUGCGUAGAGAUCUGAAGGAAUACCAGUGGCGAAGGCGGCCCCCUGGACAAAGACUGACGCUCAGAUGCGAAAGCGUGGGGAGCAAACAGGAUUAGAUACCCUGGUAG